GGCUGAGGCGUUCGCUAGUUGAGAUGAUGGCGAGUGGGACGCCGGAUUCGCAAGCCCGAUUUGGUCAGUCGGUGAAGGGGCUUCUCACGGAAAAGGUGAACACCUGCGGCACCGACGUAAUCGCGCUCACCAAGCAGGUGCUGAAAGGCUCGCGAAGCUCUGAGCUGCUGGGGCAGGCAGCUCGAAACAUGGUGCUACAGGAAGAUGCCAUCUUGCACUCAGAAGAUAGUUUAAGGAAGAUGGCGAUAAUAACAACACACCUUCAGUACCAGUGAGU
RNAcentral lists this long non-coding RNA (277 nucleotides) under Rattus norvegicus (Norway rat). RNAcentral's name for it is "long non-coding RNA NONRATT001819". Lineage: Eukaryota; Metazoa; Chordata; Mammalia; Rodentia; Muridae. The record is from RNAcentral.